This is a non-coding RNA of Acanthosepion pharaonis, 93 nucleotides long. The record is from the annotation of a GenBank genome assembly. Lineage: Eukaryota; Metazoa; Mollusca; Cephalopoda; Sepiida; Sepiidae.
UUGAAACACUGUUUCCUGUACGAUCACCGAAGUUAAGUAACAUCAAGCCUGGUCAGUACCUGGAUGGAAGACCGCUUGGAAAUACCCGGUGUU